AAAUUCAAAGUCAGCCCCUUAAUCCCCUAUCAUUGAUCAAGUAUAGGCUUCAUCCAUGAGUGCAAGCAGCAUCUGUAUCCGGACAGGAAUAUUGUCAAUUUUACAAUAAGUGCCAAUUCGUUUGUUUUCAACAUAUUCUGCAUUCCAAAAAUAACCUCAGGAGCUGUACUCUUCUGGAGUGAAGCUAUGCUGCUGCCAAUCAGGGAUCCUGAGCUCCAUUCCACCUUUUCCAAUGCCACUACCAAUACUGACAUUGACAACCAUCCAGACAAUUGUGAAACAUAACAAAGUUGCACAAAUCUCUACCUUGAAAGUGAGCAAAAUUUGGGGAGGAGGAGCAAUA
This 343-nucleotide long non-coding RNA is filed under the name Actinidia chinensis (golden kiwifruit). RNAcentral describes it as "long non-coding RNA (ACHI_LNC004414)". The record is from RNAcentral. Lineage: Eukaryota; Viridiplantae; Streptophyta; Magnoliopsida; Ericales; Actinidiaceae.